GGGGCUUAUGAAGGGGUGGGGAGCACUGCUCCCUGCCGCUUCUAUAGUUACAUAUUACAAGGAGGGAGCUGCGUGCCGGUAGCUCCCUCUUUGUAAUAAACUGCACGAACAAACGAACACUGAUACAUAGGGUUAGUUUGUUCGGCUGAUCUUUCUAUUCACUCAUUCGUCUGUCUGAUGAAUGAAUGAAUAGAUGAAAUUCCUGUUCGCAUGUCCAGGUGUUUCACUGGGCAUGUGCGGGAAUCUCACAGGCUAUCUAGUGUGGGCUGAUGACGUGUCCCACAGGGACUUCAUCUACCCACACAAAGAUGGCGGCGCCCUGAAUAUAGAUCGAGGCAGAAAAUAAGGAAUAAAAAAAAUGUAAUGUGGGGGGCUUAGGGGCAUUUGGGGGUGACUAGGGUGUUAGUUAGAUGUAGUGAAGGCCGGAGGGGGGUUAAAAAAAAACCAGGAUUCGGCAUGACAGUGCCGCUUUAAGCUCACAGGUCUAUAAUUUCCAGGCAGGGAUUUUGAACCCUUUUUGAAUAUAGGAACCACAUCUGCCUUCCUCCAAUCCUGCGGAACACUUCCUGAAAGAAAAGAAUCUUAAAAGAUUAAAAACAGAGGUUCACUUUUUUCUACACUUAGUUCCUUAAGUACUCGUGGAUGGAUACCGUCCUGUCUUGAGUUAACCAAUUACAAUUAUUCUGCAAGUUUUUAGUAGCAAUCAUUUGCACAUCUAUUGCCAUGGGUUCUUCCUUAAUAUAUACGGAGGAGAAAUAGUUAUUUAAAAUUCCUGCCUUUUCCUGGUCUUCAUUAACUAACACCCCCGUUUCAGUUUUUAAU
This is a non-coding RNA of Pelobates cultripes (western spadefoot toad), 822 nucleotides long. The record is from the annotation of a GenBank genome assembly. Lineage: Eukaryota; Metazoa; Chordata; Amphibia; Anura; Pelobatidae.